AUCCUUUUAUAGUUCAUAAGUCUGAUGACUGGGUGUCAUGCUCAUGUGUGAGACAUGCCUCACUUAAGGUUUGUUAUGUCAGCAUAUUACUUGCCUAUA
Small nucleolar RNA from Saimiri boliviensis boliviensis (Bolivian squirrel monkey), 99 nucleotides. RefSeq annotates it as small nucleolar RNA U13. The record is from RefSeq and is a predicted model, not a curated record. Lineage: Eukaryota; Metazoa; Chordata; Mammalia; Primates; Cebidae.